AUUAGAGUUUGAUCAUGGCUCAGGAUGAACGCUGGCGGCGUGCCUAACACAUGCAAGUCGAGCGAUCUUCUUCGGAAGAGAGCGGCGGACGGGUGAGUAACGCGUGGGUAACCUGCCUCAUACACAUGGAUAACAUACCGAAAGGUAUGCUAAUACAAGAUGAUAUAAGAGAUUCGCAUGGAUUUCUUAUCAAAGCUCCGGCGGUAUGAGAUGGACCCGCGUCUGAUUAGCUAGUUGGUAAGGUAACGGCUUACCAAGGCGACGAUCAGUAGCCGACCUGAGAGGGUGAUCGGCCACAUUGGAACUGAGACACGGUCCAAACUCCUACGGGAGGCAGCAGUGGGGAAUAUUGCACAAUGGGCGAAAGCCUGAUGCAGCAACGCCGCGUGAGCGAUGAAGGCCUUCGGGUCGUAAAGCUCUGUCCUCAAGGAAGAUAAUGACGGUACUUGAGGAGGAAGCCCCGGCUAACUACGUGCCAGCAGCCGCGGUAAUAAU
Molecule: ribosomal RNA, 495 nt
Filed under: uncultured Clostridium sp.
Lineage: Bacteria; Bacillati; Bacillota; Clostridia; Eubacteriales; Clostridiaceae
Description: bacterial SSU rRNA
Rfam family: Bacterial small subunit ribosomal RNA
Source: RNAcentral